CCCCUAGUAACUGCGAGUGAAGCGGGAAAAGCUCAAAUUUAAAAUCUGGCGGUCUUUGGCCGUCCGAGUUGUAGUCUGGAGAAGUGCUUUCCGCGCUGGACCGUGUAUAAGUCUCUUGGAACAGAGCGUCAUAGAGGGUGAGAAUCCCGUCUUUGACACGGACUACCAGUGCUUUGUGAUGCGCUCUCAAAGAGUCGAGUUGUUUGGGAAUGCAGCUCAAAAUGGGUGGUGAAUUCCAUCUAAAGCUAAAUAUUGGCGAGAGACCGAUAGCGAACAAGUACCGUGAGGGAAAGAUGAAAAGCACUUUGGAAAGAGAGUUAAACAGUACGUGAAAUUGCUGAAAGGGAAACGCUUGAAGUCAGUCGCGUUGUCUGGGACUCAGCCUUGCUUUUGCUUGGUGCACUUUCCGGAUGACGGGCCAGCAUCGAUUUUGACCGUCGGAAAAGGGCUAGGGUAAUGUGGCACCUCCGGGUGUGUUAUAGACUUUAGUCGCAUACGGCGGUCGGGAUCGAGGAACGCAGCGCGCCGUAAGGCAGGGGUUCGCCCACUUUCGCGCUUAGGAUGCUGGCGUAAUGGCUUUAAACGACCCGUCUUGAAACACGGACCAAGGAGUCUAACAUACCUGUGAGUGUUUGGGUGGAAAACCCGAGCGCGUAAUGAAAGUGAAAGUUGAGACCUCUGUCGUGGAGGGCAUCGACGCCCGGACCUGACGUUCUCUGACGGAUCCGCGGUAGAGCAUGUAUGUUGGGACCCGAAAGAUGGUGAACUAUGCCUGAAUAGGGUGAAGCCAGAGGAAACUCUGGUGGAGGCUCGUAGCGAUUCUGACGUGCAAAUCGAUCGUCAAAUUUGGGUAUAGGGGCGAAAGACUAAUCGAA
RNAcentral lists this ribosomal RNA (875 nucleotides) under Sanguinoderma rude. RNAcentral's name for it is "partial 28S ribosomal RNA". It matches the Rfam family "Eukaryotic large subunit ribosomal RNA", at positions 77 to 939 of the family's 3401-position model. Lineage: Eukaryota; Fungi; Basidiomycota; Agaricomycetes; Polyporales; Polyporaceae. The record is from RNAcentral.